Molecule: long non-coding RNA, 393 nt
Filed under: Homo sapiens (human)
Lineage: Eukaryota; Metazoa; Chordata; Mammalia; Primates; Hominidae
Description: HSALNT0391425
Source: RNAcentral
ACAAGAUCCAAAUCAAUGUCCUUCCGGGAGAAUUUCUUAAAAUCUUGUUUUCUCUCGUUGUCUUCGGAAGAAGCCCGACAUUUCUUAUAGGAAAUGGAACUCUUCAUAAGGUUCAUCUCAAAGAUCUCUCUUUGCAUAAUGUGUGUGUGGACCUGCCUACAGAUACAUUGGGUGGAAGCCCUAGGAGCCUCAAGCAAGUCUGAAGAUUGGCCCUGAGAACCACUGUUCUCAUUAUCAGCAAGGAUUUUAUCCAGAGACCUCUAGGAAUACAUUCACUAAAAUGUGACUGUGGUCCUGUGGUUGUAUGAACUCUGGCUCUUCUCGUGAAUUACAUUUCACUGGAGUCAGGUGUUUUCUGUAAACAUCGUUAAACCACGAGACCAACUGCAUUGA